CCGUGCUCCAGCUGUUGUUUACAAAUAUGCACAGACCUCCUCGUCUUACCGGAGUGAGCUGUUCUAUCCUGCCCUGUGCAGCGUGUAUCCCGCUAGCUGAAUAUCCAUGUUGUCAUUCAGCCACGAUUCCGUGAAACAUAGGAUAUUACAGUUUUUGAUGUCCCGUUGGUAGGAUAUUCGUGAUCGUACCUCGUCUAGUUUAUUGUCCAACAACUUGUUUUGACAUAUAAAACCCCACCCAGCAGACUGUCACUGUCGACCAAUCGCGUUUGCUGUCAUGCCGCUUUAUACAAUGGGUGGGUCUAAUCCUGAAUGCUGAUUGGUUAACUGCAUUCCAGCCUGUGUCUAUUUAAGCAAUAAGGCCCGAGGUGGUGUGCUAUAUGGCCAAUAUUCCAAGGCUAUGGGCUGUUCUUAGGCACAAAGCAACACGGAAUGCCUGGAUACAGCCCUUAGCCUUGUUAUAUUGGCCAUAUACCACAAACUCCUGAGGUGCCUUAUUGCUAUUAUAAACUGGUCACCAUCUAAUUAGAGCAGUUUUGUCAUACCUGUGGUAUACGGUCUGAUAUACCAUGGCUGUCAGCAAAUCAGCAUUCAGGGCUCAAACCACCCAGUUUAUAAUCCACAAAUGACCACUGGCUAAAUAUAUUACUUUAAAAUGCCUAUUUACUCUGUUCCAUCUGACUGUGCAAUCCACUGUCUCAUCAACCCAGCCAGGCAAUUAAUAAACUUGAUAUCCACUAUAAAAAGCAUCUAGGCAUUAUCUCACAUUUCUUUUACACUAACAUGUAGUUUUCAACAGCGCAGAUUUGUAUCAACCAUGCUGUCUGUCUCUCCGACAUUUUCAACAUUGUUUAUUCAAAUUCGAUCUCCAGCCGUCCCAUAGUACUGAACAUAUUAGGAGACUGGGCGAGACACAGGCAGUAUUUCUCAUCCAGUCAAAAUCAUGAAUCAACGGGCAUAAUUUUUAUGGAUAUAUACAGAGAGGUCAAAUGACGACUUUUAAGUUAGCCGUAGUUGACUAGCUAGCAAGCAAGGGAUAAGAACGUUGCCAGCCAGUAUGGCAAUGGAACAUUUAGAACGAAUGACUGGGUCGCGUCCAUAGAUACAGAACAAAAAGACUGAAAGACUGGGUCGCGUCUCUGGGAACCGAACCGAUAGAACUAACGACCAGCAGCUUGUAUCUUGUGGAAGGAUGAAAUGGUAUGAAUAAAUUCAUCAAAUAACUUUUAAUGAAAAUAUGGCAAUCAUUAUUUGAAUAUGUUGGUAAUCCGUUGUAUAAAAGUGAUAAUGCCCUCGAAGCCGAUGUUUGGAGGAUGUAUUAAAAUAUUAUUUAUUUUUUACAACUGAGCGACAGGUGAUUUUUGAGACUGGUCUCUAACGUUUUACUGAUGCUUGAUGUCCAAAUGAUUCUGUAAUGCGGGUUUAAAAACUAUUUGGGCAUGUGCAUAUGACGGUGUUUGGAGGAUGUAUUUGGACCUGUGCCAAACACUGACUUCUCUGGAAUUAUCACUUAAUAAUGCCAUCCCCUUCCCAAAAUAAGGGCAAAGACAGUACAGUAUGAACAUAAGCUAAAACUGCGACGUUGGUUAGCUAAACUCAGGCGCAGAAACAAGUAAUCGGGUCUAACGGUCGUCUCGCGCCGAACUGCGGCUGUGCAGGCCAUCAAAUCAAAGGUACUCCAAAGUUGUUAUUGACGAAAAAUGAAAACGUGUAAGUUUGUCACUUUCACGAGGUUGGAGUAAUAAUAUGUUCAACUACUUAAGUCAUUGGCUCGAAUGUAGGUUUUGAGAAAAUUAACAACUAAGGAAGAUUCUUUAAAUUGUGACUUCCCAAACCCCAGCCUGGUCUGUUUGGUCUCUUUCACAAGCGUUCCUGGAAGUCUCGCGAUGUUGCGCCUCUAAAUUUAGAAACUCUGUGGUCAUGGUAUGAGACGAGAAACCUGCCUAUGUCCGUCGAAAGUACGUAAUGUCACGAAGCAAUAUGAUAUUACAGAGAACAAGUAAUUAACCCGAAAAAAUGUUUUGUUAUACUUCUUGUUCACGAAAUGCAUGCUAAUGUUGGGUUUUGAGUUAGCGCCCAAAUUGACUCCUUGGAGGAGAACUCUCUUGUCCUUAAAUCGCCUCGAAUACACCGCGCAGCCCAUUGACGACGCAUGGACAACGUACAAAAUAUGAGUUAAUACGAUUUAUCCUACCCUACCAUUUAAAAUGUCAACUUCAAUGUGGGUAUGGACGUCCCAAUAAUACCAGAUAGCAAAGACCAACGGAAAACGUUUUACAACGAAAACGACUUUCUAUUGGACCAAUUCAGGUAGGUCCGUUUCGUUCUGUUUUCUUCCGUUUAGUAGGUAAACGGUUUCCGUUGCAAGAAGUAAUGAAUACAUACGGGAAGGGAUACUGAAUACACCCCUGGUAUAACAACAGCAUUCCCUCCCGCAUGUAUAAUCUACUCUACAUUAGUUCCAUGUUACAAAACAGAGACCAUCGGUCGCAAUAAACUUUGAUUCUACGUGUUAAUGCAUUUUUUAAAAUACAUUGACAAUGUCCCUUUAUGACCUCUUCUCUAUUUGGAAUAACGAUGCAAGACGAGACUGAACCAAAGUCAGUAUCUGGGUGCAGGUGGUGGUCCUCAUGGCACCCACCUCUAUGCCCGCUGAAUAGCACAGAAAUACUUACUAUUCCAGUAAGAUGAUUGAAGGAGCAGCUCACGAUGUCUAUGCUGAUCAGCCUGAGGAGUUCCACGGAGUUGUGCAGAGCAUCUGCGACAUUGUAGACUAAGAAAGUCUGUGUUUCAGUAAUUUAAUGAUGCUGCUUCAUUUUAUUUAUAUUAUACAGCCUACUGUGUGAGUUAUGUGGCUUUUUAAGUUGAUCUUUUCAAGAGGUUGUCUUGACAUGUCAUGACUGACAGUAAGAUCACCAUUAUAGUAUCUUGACUUUAUCUCUAGCCACUCCAAUUUGCUUACCGCCCCAAUAGGUCCACAGAUGACGCAAUCACACUGCACACUGCCCUAACCCAUCUGGACAAGAGGAAUACCUAUGUAAGAAUGCUGUUCAUCGAUUACAGCUCAGCAUUUAACACCAUAGUACCCUCAA
Non-coding RNA from Salmo salar (Atlantic salmon), 3092 nucleotides. Lineage: Eukaryota; Metazoa; Chordata; Actinopteri; Salmoniformes; Salmonidae. The record is from RefSeq and is a predicted model, not a curated record.